RNAcentral lists this ribosomal RNA (557 nucleotides) under uncultured bacterium. RNAcentral's name for it is "bacterial SSU rRNA". It matches the Rfam family "Bacterial small subunit ribosomal RNA", at positions 102 to 694 of the family's 1533-position model. The record is from RNAcentral.
ACGGGUGCGUAACGCGUGGGAGUCUGCCCUUUGGUCUGGGAUAACUGUUGGAAACGACAGCUAAUACCGGAUGAUGACGUAAGUCCAAAGAUUUAUCGCCAGAGGAUGAGCCCGCGUCGGAUUAGCUAGUUGGUGGGGUAAAGGCCUACCAAGGCGACGAUCCGUAGCUGGUCUGAGAGGAUGAUCAGCCACACUGGGACUGAGACACGGCCCAGACUCCUACGGGAGGCAGCAGUGGGGAAUAUUGGACAAUGGGCGAAAGCCUGAUCCAGCAAUGCCGCGUGAGUGAUGAAGGCCUUAGGGUUGUAAAGCUCUUUUACCCGGGAUGAUAAUGACAGUACCGGGAGAAUAAGCUCCGGCUAACUCCGUGCCAGCAGCCGCGGUAAUACGGAGGGAGCUAGCGUUGUUCGGAAUUACUGGGCGUAAAGCGCACGUAGGCGGCUUUGUAAGUUAGAGGUGAAAGCCUGGAGCUCAACUCCAGAACUGCCUUUGAUACUGCAUGGCUUGAAUCCAGGAGAGGUGAGUGGAAUUCCGAGUGUAGAGGUGAAAUUCGUAGA